AGUAGCGCAGCGAGAAGGAUCGCCAUCACACGGCGCACUGGUGCGGCUUCUCCCCCGAGUGGAUGAACAUGUGCUUGGUGUCGUUUUUCCUUGAGCUGAACGUCUUGCAACAGUGGCCGCACGCAUAGGGCUGACCCCACAUUGGACACCGCUGCAUCCAUGUCCAUCACACAACACAGCUGCCGUUUCUUCUGCCUGCUUAUGGGAAAGUCCCCUCUUCUCCUCCGUUUUCUUCUCUUCCUGCCCUAUCACACCGUGCACUUCUCCCUUUCCUUAAAGAACCACCAUCAACUUUAGGAGGAGGGAAAGGGGUGGCUCUGGCAGGAAAAGCCAGAAUCCCCUCUAGCCAGCAGAGAGAGAGAGGAAUGGCUGCAUGUUUUCUCCCCCAGUCCAAGGCACUGGGUCUUGGCUGGGUUGAAGGUUCCAAGCUGCUCUCCUGCUGUGUCGGUGAGUUCUGGUCAACCUGCAACCUCCUGAUAUGGCCAUUGCAGUUCAUCGAGUCUUCAGGGACUCCCCAUGGCCUGGAGUACUUUGCCUUGCUUACACGGGAGAGGAGAAUGGAUUUAUAGAGAACAUCAUCUAAAUCCAACUUGACCAUUGUGUGGCCACACUUGCUAGAUUGCUAUAGUCUAAAUCUAGCAUUGUAGAAAGACGGGGGAGCUUGGAGCUGCACAAACCCAGGUCUGGAACUGGCUCCUUACCUUGGAAGGUGAAUGAUCCUGCCAGGACUCUUAGCCUCCCUGGGUCUCAAUUUCUUUAUCUGUUUCAUGGGAAUGAGGAUCUCUGCUGGGUGGUUGGGUGAUGUGGGGGCUGUGUGAAAACAGCUUGUCAAUACAAGCCAAAAUAGAAAUAUUUCUCCACAGAGUAUGAAGGUCAAAUGAGAGAAUACAUUUAAAUUAAAUGGAAAAUUAAAAUGGUAAAAAAUGCAAAGCUGUAUUGAAAGUUCCGAGCUUCUCUAUAAGGAGCUUUUUGACUAUGGAAGAAUCCUGUACUCGUUCCCCCUAAAUAUAAAAAAAAAGUUGAAGGAGGCAGAAGGGAGAGUGAUGCACGAUGGGCAAGGACUUCACCUGCUGUUGCUGGCUUUGAGGAUGGAGGAAGGAGGCCACAAACCUAGAAGCUGGAGCCCCUAGAAGCUAGAAAAGGCAGGGACCCGAUUCUUUCCUUGAGCCUCCAGAAGGGACACAGCCCCGCCAGCACCUUGACUUUAGCCUGGUGAGAUCCUCUUAGGACUUUUGGCAAUCAGAACUAUAAGACAGAAAUGGAAGCCACUGAGUCUGUAGCUGUUUGUUGCAGCAGCAAUAGAAAACUAAUGCAGGGCCCAAGAAAUCACUGGUGAUGAGAUCGGGAAAGUGGGCUCAGGAGGUCUGGAUCUGUGAUGAGAUGGGGAAAGUGGGCUCAAGAGGUCUGGAUCUGUGGUGAGAUGGGGGAAGUGGGCUCAGGAGGUCUGGAUCUGUGAUGAGAUGGGGAAAGUGGGCUCAGGAGGUCUGGAUCUGUGAUGAGAUGGGGAAAGUGGGCUCAGGAGGUCUGGAUCUGUGAUGAGAUGGGGGAAGUGGGCUCAGGAGGUCUGGAUCUGUGAUGAGAUGGGGGAAGUGGGCUCAGGAGGUCUGGAUCUGUGAUGAGAUGGGGGAAGUGGGCUCAGGAGGUCUGGAUCUGUGAUGAGAUGGGGAAAGUGGGCUCAGGAGGUCUGGAUCUGUG
RNAcentral lists this long non-coding RNA (1695 nucleotides) under Homo sapiens (human). RNAcentral's name for it is "HSALNT0304927". Lineage: Eukaryota; Metazoa; Chordata; Mammalia; Primates; Hominidae. The record is from RNAcentral.